RNAcentral lists this ribosomal RNA (202 nucleotides) under Kluyvera cryocrescens. RNAcentral describes it as "partial 16S ribosomal RNA". It matches the Rfam family "Bacterial small subunit ribosomal RNA", at positions 904 to 1105 of the family's 1533-position model. Lineage: Bacteria; Pseudomonadati; Pseudomonadota; Gammaproteobacteria; Enterobacterales; Enterobacteriaceae. RNAcentral also lists the same sequence under 7 other names. The record is from RNAcentral.
AAUGAAUUGACGGGGGCCCGCACAAGCGGUGGAGCAUGUGGUUUAAUUCGAUGCAACGCGAAGAACCUUACCUACUCUUGACAUCCAGAGAACUUAGCAGAGAUGCUUUGGUGCCUUCGGGAACUCUGAGACAGGUGCUGCAUGGCUGUCGUCAGCUCGUGUUGUGAAAUGUUGGGUUAAGUCCCGCAACGAGCGCAACCCU